Molecule: ribosomal RNA, 90 nt
Filed under: uncultured bacterium
Lineage: Bacteria
Description: partial 16S ribosomal RNA
Rfam family: Bacterial small subunit ribosomal RNA
Source: RNAcentral
CCCGUCAAGCCAUGGGAAUUGGUUUUGCUCGAAAUUAGUGAGCUAACCGCAAGGGAGCAGCUACUUACAGCAGAGUCAGUGACUGGGGUU